Mesocricetus auratus (golden hamster) is the source of this 2210-nucleotide long non-coding RNA. RefSeq lists it as uncharacterized. The transcript is spliced from 2 exons. The record is from RefSeq and is a predicted model, not a curated record. Lineage: Eukaryota; Metazoa; Chordata; Mammalia; Rodentia; Cricetidae.
UGGGUCCGGGGAGACUGAAUGGGGUGCAGUGGGAAGCAGGGGCGCAGGGAAGCCAAAGCCAACUACAGGCUUCCCCAUUCUGGGGCCUCCACUCUCCCUCUGGCCCAUCCUGUGUCUUUUCUUUGCCAGAGGGCUCUGCUUUCUUAUUAUAGUUUUGACUUUCCAGAUUGUUGAGAGUUUGAAAAUGAAAAUUGAAUUUAACCAUCUGACCUGCACUAGGCAAACACCAUUCAGCAGGCACUAGCCAGUUUCUGGCUAUGCAAUAAGUAGCCUGGGCAGCAUGGCACCACAGCUGCAGCGCCCCCUACAGACUCUUCCUUUAGGGGCACAUGCUAGUUGAGAACAGGGAGAAAGGUUUCUGAUUGGUCUAGAGCUGUUGCUUUGUUUAUUAGUAUCAUUGGUUACUGCUUGCUCUCAGUUAGAUCCUGAUCAAUCAGAGUCCAGGUUGAGGGGACACAAGUGUGGAGUCCAGCUCACCAACUUCCUAUGAACCUAAACUUCUGCUUCCUCUUCUGGAAUCUGGCUUUUAUUAGCUAUUUUAUGUCAUCAUUUUUAUAAGUUAAUUGUUGCCCCAAAACCAGGAUUCUGUAAUGGCUCCUCCAGGAAUUCCAGUCUAUGGAAGAAAGGAAGGUAAGGCUUGGUGAACUAGAGACUGUGACACUCUUAGCUUAGCCAGACAGAAAUGACAUUCCCCUCAAGUGUUGGCUAGUACAGUAAGUUUACUCGUAGCUGAACACAGACCUCUCUGUCCAUCAAACAGCAUGCCCACUUUGGGGAGCUGCCUAUCAUAGUUCUUAACACAUUCUUUUCUUCCUAGUGCCUCCUGCUCACCCCUGGGCCCCUGAACCCCUCUUACUCUUUUUAAAGAUGACCUCAGGAUACUCUGAUUUUUAAACCACUGGACAGCAUUGCCUGGCACUUGCUAAUCUCUUUCAGUUUGUGACUAUGAAGGGGAGAAAGUGUCCCCAAACUGGUUGACAGAAUUGCCUGGGCCAGGGGCCGGGGAGUUCCUUGAGUUUGUGUGUGCCUCUGCUGUGACUAUGUUUUGUCCAAAGGAAAUGGUUGGCAGGUAUUAAUAUAAGGGAGAAGAAAGGAAAGUUUUAAGUGGGGGUGAAGGGGGAGAAGGGAGAAACCGACAGCAUGUUUUAAUUGUGAGUUGGAAACUUUAUAAACACAAUUUACACACACGGCACGUGUAAUCAUGGCGGUAAUUAUGAUAAAUCCGUUGUCAGCCCAGUUUGGAAGUCCUUGCGAGGUAGUCGGAAAUUAGUUCUCGUGCUAGACAAUAGCUCAAUAAAAACGCAACCCGACCCCAGCCCGGCCCAGAUGGAAUUCCACACGGCCCAACUCAGAUGUUCUCCGUGUCGCACUUCCCCACUGCCAAAAGGCUUGUCAGGUCAGCACAAACACGUCUUGAAUCCAUUAAGUUGCUUUUUUUGUUUUCUGCCUGCUAAUUAGCUAAAAGUCGAACACUUCAAGUACAGCAUGCCAAGAGCGCUGCUUCAGGGUGAGGCGCCAUGGUUCAGAAGCUAAGCUAGUGCCUUUUGUGGACUGUGCUGGUUUGGAGGGCUCUUGGACUGGCUGGGCAAGCUUGGAGAUGGCUGAGCAGGCAUGGGAAGGUAUGGCCAGGGACGAGCAUCCCCAGUCCAGGGCUGGUCUUUCAUACAGCCUCUGGGACUCAGGCUAGAAAGGAGCCCCUCAAACAGUCGUCCCCAAAUGAGGUAUCUGUUGAUACUUGUUCCCCUCAUGGGAGCAAGCUCAGUUACACAUAUCAUGAGGCAAUGGUCACAGGCUGAAAUGUCAUGGGUAGGGACAGGCAGCUUCCUCUCAUCCACUGAGCACGCCCGGCAGAAAGAGCAUCCUGGCUCCUUCCUCUAAACUCAGUUAGUAGCUCUAGACCAGAAGCAUGAGGCACAGGAAAUGGAGAGAGUUUAAGAUGCCUGGCCUUAAGGACUACCACAUCGACUCUUGCCCGUGGUGAGAGGAAAAGCUGACAGUGUGUGGGGAUGGAAGGCCCACAACCUGAGGAGACCCAGGAGAACUGCCACCCUUCCUCUGGAGGCUGUCAGCCAGUUGAGGGUCACCCCAUCCCCCACCUGGGAAGCAGAAAAGAUGGGACAGCUGGGUGCCUGGAUGAUCCCACAGAACAGAGCUGACCCUGGCUACCUCUGGGCAGUCACUGGAGGGAGAAUAAAGUCCUAUUUUCUUGA